Molecule: ribosomal RNA, 374 nt
Filed under: uncultured prokaryote
Description: partial 16S ribosomal RNA
Rfam family: Bacterial small subunit ribosomal RNA
Source: RNAcentral
UACGUAGGGGGCGAGCGUUGUCCGGAUUUACUGGGCGUAAAGAGCGCGCAGGCGGCUCUGCAAGUCGAUCGUGAAAUCCCCCGGCUCAACCGGGGGGGGUCGGUCGAUACUGUGGGGCUUGAGGGCGGUAGGGGGAGAUGGAAUUCCCGGUGUAGUGGUGAAAUGCGUAGAUAUCGGGAGGAACACCGAUGGCGAAAGCGAUCUCCUGGGCCGAUCCUGACGCUGAGGCGCGAAAGCGUGGGGAGCGAACUGAAUUAGAUACUCAGGUAGUCCACGCCCUAAACGAUGGACACUAGGUGUGGGGGGUAUCGACCCCUCCCGUGCCGCAGCUAACGCAAUAAGUGUCCCGCCUGGGGAGUACGGCCGCAAGGCUA